RNAcentral lists this ribosomal RNA (255 nucleotides) under uncultured bacterium. RNAcentral describes it as "partial 16S ribosomal RNA". It matches the Rfam family "Bacterial small subunit ribosomal RNA", at positions 524 to 776 of the family's 1533-position model. The record is from RNAcentral.
UACGAAGGGGGCUAGCGUUGCUCGGAAUUACUGGGCGUAAAGGGCGCGUAGGCGGAUGUCUAAGUUGGGGGUGAAAUCCCGGGGCUCAACCUCGGAACCGCCUUCAAUACUGGAUAUCUUGAGUUCGGGAGAGGUGAGUGGAAUGCCGAGUGUAGAGGUGAAAAUUCGUAGAUAUUCGGCGGAACACCAGUGGCGAAGGCGACUCACUGGCUCGUAUCUGACGCUCAGGCGCGAUAGCGUGGGGGAUCAAACAGG